CACGUAGGGCGCAAGCGUUGUCCGGAAUUAUUGGGCGUAAAGAGCUCGUAGGUGGUUUGUUACGUCUGCUGUGAAAACCUAGGGCUUAACCCUGGGCUUGCAGUGGAUACGGGCAGACUAGAGGUAGGUAGGGGAGAAUGGAAUUCCCGGUGUAGCGGUGAAAUGCGCAGAUAUCGGGAGGAACACCAAUGGCGAAGGCAGCUCGCUGGGACGUUACUGACGCUGAGACGCGAAAGCGUGGGGAGCAAACAGG
RNAcentral lists this ribosomal RNA (253 nucleotides) under uncultured bacterium. Its description in RNAcentral is "partial 16S ribosomal RNA". It matches the Rfam family "Bacterial small subunit ribosomal RNA", at positions 524 to 776 of the family's 1533-position model. The record is from RNAcentral.